AACCACCCAAAGAACACCAAGCCUGAGCCCAUGCUCCCUUUACUUCCUGCCCUAGACCCCCGUUACCUCCUGCCGCUGCAGGGCAGGUGCAAAGGCCACAGCAGCCCAGGGCGCGCUCUCCACGAGGUCUCAUGCCCAGGUAAGAGGGAGUCAGUGGGUAGCUGGGGCAGGACUUGACUCUCCCUGCAAGGGCGGUGCCAGACCUAAGGCACAGGUCUGCGAGAAGGAAGCUCAGCUGUAGGCCCAGGGCUCUGUAACCUCGCCAUGUUUGGCAGAGGGCCACACUCUGCAUCUGACACCACCAGCUCCACACAGAUUCCGGGUCGCUGGUGCACAAGGUACUGUUGCAGUGCACAGGGUGGCGAACACCAUCCUCUCCAGCUGCUGGCUAUCUUUUUAUUGUUUGAUAGGACGGGUCGAAUGCUUCCUUAAGAGAAGGAGUGUUUUAGAAGAGAUUCGAACUCUGUACAGGGCUGGGGAAGUUCAGUAUCAAUGUUCACACUGAAAUUCCUGCCAGCAGGAUGGAUGCCCUGGGGGCACUGUGUUUUUCAGUAACACGUGCAAAACCCAGGCCCACAGACUCCAAUAACAUGAGUAUAUCAGCACCAUGGUGUGCACCAACGCCAUCAUGCACCAAAAUGUAUAUGUACCAGCAGCACUAUGGUGGCCCACAACAUGUGUGUACCAACAUGUUGUACAUGCAGUAACAUACAUGUGCACCAAGACCAGUAUACAAUACAUGCAUCGGUACCUCAAUGGCUAACAUAUGUGCUCCAACAACGUGGUUCCCUUAACUGUGUACACAUCACCACAGUGCCCACCACGUGUGCAUCUGUAGCCAUACAGACACCUGCGCGUGCCUUAAGACCAGAGCAACUGCAUCCACGUGCUCCCCAGCACUGAGCAAUCUGGAGACAGACAGGUGUGUACCAGGAUGCCAUUGCACCAGCGUAUAUGUUGGGCUCAGCACUGAACUAAGGGUCAAGACACAAACUGUCAGAUGUCCCAGGAUUUGUCCUCAGAACUCGGGCCUGGAAGGUGAAGAUCUAUAAGAUAAGGGCCACGCUAAAGUCCCCAAAUCAAUGUGUAAAAACCACAUGGAGAUGUAAUGAUAAAAUAGUAGAAAUGAUUGCUUUUCUGAAAACUAAGCCCCUCAAACAGCAGUGGCUUUGGUUUGAAGUAACCUCAUGAAACAAAGGAGGGGGCUUGCAGAGGCAUGGAGUAGGUACAGCAAGCAGGUCCCCGCAUGGACAAGCAGGGCCGGGGCUGUGCACUGUGCCUGUGCUCAUAGGAGUCAGGUCAGUUGACACUUGGAAAUGUGUGACAUCUGAAAACUGAGGCUCUGGGGGAGUCACACUUGUACCCCUCAGCUCCAGAACCUUCACUGCUCACCCCUCCCCCAUGCCAAGCUGCUGCCUCCACCCUCCUCGGAGAAGGCCGCCAUCGGGCAAGUGCUGAGACAUAGGCCCCGCCUUCCAUCUGCCCCACAGAGACAGGCCUAUGGCUUUCUAGCUUGCUCCAGAGCAGCCUAGGCUUCCUUGGGGCAGACCCCCAAGGUCUCAUGGCCUGUGGGUUGAUCUGGCCUGUUACGUGCACUCCCACAGAGGUCCAUCUGGUCCACAAUGUGACAAACACUGCUGACGUCAUGCCGUCAUCAAAGCCAUAACCAAAGCAAAGGGUGACAGUGACUGCCUAACCUGUCCUAACCGUCCUGUGGGCGGAGCAUCCGGGAGCACCUCCAUGUUCUAAGCACCUUCUCAGAAGCACGCGUGCUGAGGGCUGACUCCAUUCUCCUGGUGACUGACAUGCAGCACUGCCAUCUCCUCGUCUCACACUAAGGAACCUGCACUUAGGGGACAGGUGGGACAGGGAUGUAGAAGACAAAGCAGCAGCUACUUCCUUGGAGCCACACUCAGAAGCAGGAUGGGGCCUGAUGGGACUGCCGCGCUCUGGCUGCAGGUAACUAAUGUAACUGGAAUUCCAAGAAUAGUACCAGCUCACAGAACAGGCUCAGCACCCAGUGUGGGUGAGGCCACACCAGGAGCAGCAGCCAUCAUCUUGAGAGAACCACCCUGUUAGCACCCAGAACCUGCGGCAGAUAUGGGCGGGUCCACAGACCUGUCGCCAAGGCAACGGCCACCAUAUUCCCAGAAUCCAUUGGGUUCAACUCCCACCUUUACCUGGACUGCUAUGUCUCGACAUAUAUAUGUGUGUACUCUCCUCCAUCUUUCUCUCUUCUUUUCUUCUCUCUCUCUUCCCUCUCUCUCCCUGCGCCACUACCCCCCUAUUCCCCCUUAAUUAAACCUCUUACACGUGGA
Long non-coding RNA from Mastomys coucha (southern multimammate mouse), 2318 nucleotides. RefSeq lists it as uncharacterized. Lineage: Eukaryota; Metazoa; Chordata; Mammalia; Rodentia; Muridae. The record is from RefSeq and is a predicted model, not a curated record. The transcript has 2 exons.